AUGUUACGCUAUACUAAUACCUGUAAAAUGUCAGACAGGAGCACCAGCAUCCACAGCAUCCUGAGGAGGAAACAUUACCAGAGGACAGAAAGACUUCUAUUCACCAAAACAAUCAAUAGUUUUGCUUCAGAGGAGAAUCCGACAGUUCCAGAUGUUCGUCACCAGCACUGCAGUGUUUACACAGACUGCUUUGGUUUCAACUUUCUACAAAAAACUGUUGAAUUUUCAACUCACUUUCCAUCUGAAUCCAAGCUCAUCUUCAUCACUGGGAUGUUUCUUCAUCAGUUCUUCGUACAGACUGACACAGCUCACACAUGGAGAAGAUGAUUUAUGGAAUAUGACAUUUAGAUUUUUCCUUUUCUCAACAGUAUGAUGCAUACAUCCCAACCCAAAUUUCAUGCAUUUUUUUGGCUUAACUUGAGCCAAUUUCCAUCAAUAAAUUGCUAAUGUAUUAUUAUUGACUAUUACUA
Molecule: long non-coding RNA, 470 nt
Filed under: Gouania willdenowi (blunt-snouted clingfish)
Lineage: Eukaryota; Metazoa; Chordata; Actinopteri; Blenniiformes; Gobiesocidae
Description: lncRNA (ENSGWIG00000023165.1)
Source: RNAcentral